Non-coding RNA from Rattus norvegicus (Norway rat), 14290 nucleotides. The record is from RefSeq and is a predicted model, not a curated record. Lineage: Eukaryota; Metazoa; Chordata; Mammalia; Rodentia; Muridae.
UCAAGGAAACCUCUCUGAUGAAUUUGUUGGGGGGCUUUGGGGAAACAUCUGGUCCUACACUCUUGCUGCUUUCCUAAACCUUUCAUGCAGGGACUUAAGUUGUUGAGAAGAGGGUUUUGAGAGAUGAUACGAACAGCAAAGGGCACGCUAAAAUCGGGAGCUUAGAAUGCAGACUACGAAUCAAUAGCACUUUGCUGAGAAGUUUAAAGAGCAAAAGUGUCUUAUUUGGGGACACAUUAAGACAAGAGUACAAUGGGGGAAAAUAUAUGACAGAGAACCAAUAAGGAUAAUCUGAAACAAAGCAUUGCCCCUUUCCAGUUAAUAUGGGUAUCCCCAGUGUGUGAAAAUCAGCCUUCAAGGUUCAAAGCAGGGAGGUUUAGAGGGAGCCCAUUAAAGGUCUCAGGUUCCUGUCAGGGUAGGUUAAAGUGACAUAUUCGGUGGGAACAGCUCACACAGGUUUCCUUCCCUAUGACCUCCUUAAAUUCAUAGCUGCUGAGUGCCAUAGGGAGGACUGUUUAUGUAACAGAGUUAUUCGUUUGGGCCAGGGAAACUUACACUUGUUUGAACAGCUUUCUGGGAAGAGAGUAGAGAGUGGGCAGGAAGCCCCUGUCGACCACAAGCUAAGUGAGCAAGAGCAAAGGCAUAUUAUCCUGAUUACAGCUCACGCUGCACCAAGAAAAGACGACAAGAUUCUAAAGCAGACCCUGGUUGUAGAGUGAUGCUUGGAGACCAGCAUCUGGGGUAACUGUAAAGGAUAGAGUCUUGGUACUGAGUAGACAGUUCAGAGUGAAGACAAAACUGUGGCUUUCUUUCCGUUCUGGGCUUGCAUGCGGAGUCACCUUCUGAUUGGUUGGAUUCCAAUUAAAUGGUGGUGCCUCUCUUAACCCCUGAAUCAGGCUCAGAAGGGCUUCUGAGAUGGACUUUUGCAAGGGUUUGAGGAAACCGUCCAAGCUGGCUGUACUGACCUGCAGGCGAUGGCAUGGUGGUGUCUGGAAGGUGGAUACUGCUGCUGCCUGUCAACUGUCAAGGCAAGAAGAGGAACUUGAAGCGGAGGGAAGGGCUGUACUUCCCCACUGGGGAAGCUGGGCAGGGGACUCGAUGGGGACAGCUGCUUCUGCUCUGCGAUUUCAGGUGGCGGCUUUAAAGUUUAAAGGGACCAUCUAGGCUAGGAAGGGGAGCUCACCACACCUCUCUUGGGUUGCAGGGGUAGACUCAGUCCUGAGUAUUGCGAGCACUGCACAGCCAGCCACCAAACAGGAGGGAACUCGGAAAAUGCCAAAUCGGACUUCCCUCAGGAAUGGAGCCUAGUCGAGAGCUGAGGUGAAACCCUUCCUCUUGCCCUGUACUCCGCUACGAGCCAGGAGUGGUCACGACAAUGGAAAGAACCCAACAGCCACAGGAUUGCUUUCCCAAAUGGGAUGCUCUGCGUAGAGCCGAAGCUGAGUUCCUCGGAGCGCCAAAACUCCUGGUUCUAGUUUUAUUGAUGGUCUGGCUAUGAGCCAUUGAGGUUACUGAGCUCCUCUUAGUGUGGCUGGCUCUGCAGAAAGGAACUUAGAGAACCAGUGCUGAGGAAUGAUGACCUUGUUUCUCCCUUUAGCCUGAUGCUAACCUCAGGACUCUGGAUCUCAGCUGCCGUGGAGGAAUCCAGAUUUCUAAUCUAUUUAUGUCAUCUGACCAAUUACAAUCAAAUGAAAUAACGAACGUACACAGAUACUUUGAACACAGUUCUCACUGUGGAGAAUACCCCCUAAGUACUUAUUUAACCUUUAUACAACCCUAUUAGCUUUCAACUGAAAGAUUAGGGGAACAGACAAAGACCCUAGUAAGAGGACAUGUGCCACAGAGUUACUGAGAACUAAGCCCAGGCCCUCUGGCUCAGAACCUAUCUCACCAUCCCUCCAUAAUUUCUCCCUCCUGUUGCUUGAGGUCCCAAAGCCCCACUUAUGAAGCCCUACAUGGAACAUGAACGUGGAUCACAUGCAGACGAUACCCAUGAUAACAUACGUGAUUGGAAUCAUGUCAGACCCUCUAUCCACACCUGCACCUACCCACAAGCAAUAACAGGUCAUGUGCAGAAGGCUCUUCAAAUUGAAUUUCUCUUUCUUGGUGGACAAGCACGCCUAGUUUACAUGGUUCCGAAGUUGCCCUGAGCACUCAGAGGACUUAUGAGAAGUGAGAGAUGAUUUCCCCCCCCACCCGCCACCCCCAGUCCUGAGGCCUACACCACGUCCCGCAUGUUUUUGUGGCUGCUUGUGGCGACCUGGAAUGAAGUUUGGAACUCAUGAAAAGCAGAGGAAAUACACUUGGAUCCAAGUGCCCCUGGCCCUCAUGACCCGACCCCUGGAGAAGCAUCUGAGUUACCCGACAUCCUGGUCAGCCGGAGCUGGGCUGGAGACUGGAUGCUGCAGCUGAUUCAGAGACUCAGCACCUAGGAAGGCUCCUGUGCAGGGAGAAAGGCAGAGAUGCGACAUUUUUAAAGUUUCACAAAACACGAGGCAGCACCCAAGUCCCUGGAUCAGGAGAUACACAGAAUUAAUGUUUUAUACCUUCGGGUAUAGGUUUGAGUUUUUUCCCCCUCAUGCCAAGUAUUUAAAACCUCUAGAAACCCAUGAUUUGACAAUCAAUGAUUGCGCGAUACUUUCAAUUUGAAUAUUCAAAGGCUUAACAAAAUGGACUAUCUUCUGCAGAAAUCCUGCACACAGGCACCCCACAGAGAGUCCAGAGAAACAGGGAGUGAGAUCCCUUUGGGUCCUGACCCUUGCUUUUCUCUUAUUUUUAAACAUUUUGUCCACCUGCCCACAGACAGAGCAGGUGUCCUCAAAGAUGCUCUGUGUUAGCCCCUCAAAGGCUUCUCAGAAGCCCCUGCUGACCUAGGCUGCUCCCUGUGGACCACCUGAACCAGGCUGGACAGCCGCAGUGAUUCUCACCUGCCCACUCUCCAUUUUAAGGGGAAAUCUCCAGUUUUGGAGAGUGAACAUGGCAGACAGAGGGUGUGGCAUAGCGAAGGCCCACUUUGGGCCCGGGUUGCAGGCCAGAGGACAGCUACAGCAGAGGCCUAAGCUUUGUGCUUUGUAUUCCUGCCUAGCUACAAGGCUUCCCUGUCUGCAUUCUCCCCCUGCUAGGCCACAGACACGGGGGUUCCAGCGGGCAGUCCUUGGACAUCAGCUCCCACUUUGUUCUUCGGAGCUGUGGCCCAUCACAGCUGUUCUUGGUCAUCUGAGAUUUCUUUAGGCCAGGAUUCCACUGCUGCAGGCAGCAGUCCCGAUUCCUAUGCUUUGGUUUGUUUCUCUUGUCUAGAGCCCCAGGCUUUUUACCCCAUAGCACUUCUGGUUCUUUUAGAGGAAGGGUGUGGAUGUUUUUGCUUUUGUUUUGUUUUUUGAAGGCUAUGAAGAGGAAGGUAGAAGGAAUUUGGAGUCAAACUGUCCUCUUGGACUCCUCACACAUAACUUGGGCCCGUGCGACGUGUAUUUUUGAAGCAUUGCCCGAGUUCCUCUCUGUCCUGUGAUUUGAACGAUGAAGUGACUGGAGUGAUACGGACUGUCAGGUCAACACAGGGGGACAGAAGGGUCCCCUUUUGCAAAUAACCAGGACAUUUCCAGAAAUGCAGAUAAAGUGAUGGUAUAGGCCUCUAUUCUUUAAUCCCCGAGUUGUCUGAAGUGCAACAAACAAACAACCCCAACAACAAAAACAAACAAAAAACAAAAACAAAACAAACAAAAACGGAAAAAAAAGCAAGCUUUAGAUUCAAAAGCCUUCAGAAAAAAAUAUUUAAAAAUUUAGAAUAUAUUGGAUAUAGUGUAUUAGAUACAGAGUGUAUAACAAACAGCUCAGCUAAGGGGUCUCUGGGGGUGAUAAAAGCAUGCUGGGUAGACCUCUCUGUCAGGCAGGUAGAGCCACACAUCUGGAAAAGGGCCAGGGCCAGGGCCAGGGCCACUUGAAGUAGCAUCCUGUGUUAGAGAGUGGGUGAGAUGUGGUUGUAUUUGGCCCAGCUAGUGUUUUACCAGCCACUGGAGCCUGAGGACCAGACCAGAGAGAGGACCCCGGGAUCUGAGGGAAACCCUCUCCCUGGCACCACAUCCUUCCUUCCUCUAGCCAACGUUUCCCCUUGCUUUCUUUCUCCUUUCUUGCUUUUAAGAUUUCAUGGCUGUCCUCUGGCUGUUUUGUUUAUUCUCCCUCCUCCGUUUUCUAUCCCGUGUUUUCUUCCUGUUGAUGUUUUUCUUCAUUUCUUCUCUCUCUCUUUUUUCCUCUCUGACUCUACAUGUGCCUCUCUUUCCCCUCUUCGGGAGAGCUGUCUCAUUCUUUUACACUAAAUAUUUUUCCUCAGUUCUCCUUUCACACAGGAAUGAGCAGAGGUGGCUUGAGAUCCCAGUUUUCCCUGGACAGUACCAAGGACAUUGGUGCUGGUGACUGGGUUCUCCAGAGAGAACACAGGCUGGGAGACAGGCUCUUUAGAAGCCUGGUGUCUAUAGAGAGAACAAAGAGCAAAGAAGUCUGCAUCCAUUCUCCCAGAAGCCUUUUCCUGAGCCAUGGCUAAUGUCCUGGGGGAUUUGUGUGUUGGUGCAGUUCCUGAGGUUCUGAGUCUGAUGCUAUUGCUGGCAAAUAACUUCCGGAAAAGAUUUCCGCAGGCCCAUUCAGAGAAUCUUCCCUGUGCUAUCUAUACGGCAGGUCAGCUCAACAUUCAGCAGUUUUGGAUUCUUGUUCUUGUGACUGGAAAACCUCAGGACAGACAUUUCAGAGCCAAAGCCAAGCUUCAGGAAGCAAUGCUUUCUCAGUAGAUUGCCUUUGCAUUUCUCUCUGUCUCCGUCUCUGCCUCUGUUUAUCCCCCCUCCCUGUCUGUCUUUCUGUCUCUAUGUGGUGUGCAUGUGUGUGUGCAUGCUUGUGUGUCUGUGUGUGUAUGACUAUGUGUGUGUAUGCAUGUAUGCAUGUGUGUAUAUGCAUGUGUGUCUGUGUAUGUAUGUCUGUGUGAGUGCAUGUGUGUUUAUGUGUGUGUGUCUCUGUGUGUGUAUGUCUGUGUGUGUGUGUCUGUGUGUGUGUGAUAUCUAGAGCAACCAGCCAUUUUGCCUUGAGAUUCCAAAUGCCUCUAGAACUGGGUACCCUGCUCUAUUGCUUGCUCCUUCACUUCCCCAUCCAUCCAUCCAUCCAUCCAUCCAUCCAUCCAUCCACCCACCCACCCACCCACCCACCCACCCACCCACCCACCCAUUCCAGUGUUGAGAUAGAAUCCAGAGCAUGCAGGGUAAGCACUCUACAACAGAACUACACCUCUAGCUCAGAAGAGCGUUUAAAUUCUCAUCUAUUGUCCCUUGGUGCCAGACCUGUGUUGCAUAGUAAAUGGUAGAAGUAGUGUUCGGACUUUUGUAUCAGCCCAAAGUCCUUGCUGGGUUAUCAGUGUGUCCAAGGGGCUUACGACUACAGCAUACUGAUGACAGGAUAUUCCAGAAACAUGGAGUCCUGAAGAAGCAACUGGCUAGUGGUGAGGUCAUUAUGCUGGUUUGUGGUUUUCCAACUAGAACCCUCUUCCUGGAGCCUUAUUGCUUCUGGGAUGCUUCCCUGAAAAUCCAACAAUCCCUGAGGUUGUAAAAAUAAAGUGGGUGUGUCUGGCCUUCUGCCACAAGCUCCUCCACUUAUAACACUAUCUUGACGUUGGGUGUGGGAAAGGAUAUUGAAAUGUUGAGAGGGAGUGCCAUCUUGAUCAGUGGCUUUCUAGCUUGUAGCUCCAUUGUUGGCUUAUAGAAAAGUCUGUGUGGAGAAGAUGGGUCUCACUUUUGUAAGGCAGAUCUUGCUUUUAAAUGAGCCACCAUCCAUAGAGAUGUUCGUUCCUUGAGCACCAGGUAUGUACCAGGCACAGUAAUGAGUACCAGGAGUGCAAAGAUAAGUAAGCCUUGGUUUCUGCCCACAAUGGUUCUGUUCUCCCAUGUGCUCACUACCACGUUCCUAAUGUAGAUUCAUUUACAGAUUCAUUCAUUCAUUCAUUCAUUCAUUCAUUCAUUCAUUCACUCAUUCCCUCACCAUUUAUUCAACUACCAUAUGUUAAUUGACUGGUCCAAUUCUUGCUUUCCAUCCGAACCUUCUCCCCUUAAAGCUCCUGUCCAUAGUUUUCCCCAUUCUCCCUAAAUCAGCUUUUUAGAUCUCUGCUUUUCCAUGCCACAAACUCAGAAAUCCUUCUGUUUGUUACUGAUCAUCACGAAGUCAGCAGCGCCUGGGGUGAGUAGAAUGGGUAUCAUUAAUGUGGAAAGUUGAAAGUUUUUAACAGAAAAAAAAAUCGAUGGUCUUUUGCAUGCAAAUGAUACUGCACAGCAUGAGGGUUUCCCCUCCAAAACAGGGCUUUAUUAAACGCAGACAUGUGCAUAUUAAAAGACCUUCAGAAUAAGGAAAAGGUGUACUUAUUCCUUCCAAAUUUGACUAUAGCCCCAAACUUUCCUUAGUAAUGCAAAAUUCUUUUGUCACCUCAAUGUUGGGACACUGUUACCGAAUGUUGUGGGGAAUAUCAAGUUCCAAAAGGUUGAAUACAUAGAAGAAAAAAAUAUUCAUGGGUCCCUGGGAAGCAUGUUUGGUCCAUGUGAAAAUGACCAAGAAGACUUGGAGAUGGUGGCUAUGUAGUGAUGCACACAUGGUCAGUUUCUCCCCAUAGUAUACAUUCAGAAUUCAGACUUACCUUUAAAAAAGGUAACGAUGAGCCAACCUUGGAUCGUUUGUUAUCUCUACAAGUACCAUACCUCACGGCUUGCGAAGUUACUGUUUAACUUAAAACAUUUUUUUAUUGUACCAUGUUUCUAACAUAAAAGUGUAUAGUGAAUGCUGUCGUGAAGAGCUGUGACUACUUCACCAAGGUUGAGAGAUAAAAGGGCUGAGUGAUCGUACAUUUGUGUGGCACUCUAAGUAUUGGGACUUCUGGAUCCUUCCACUUAAGACUGAGGGGGAAGGUCUAUUACUUUUCUGACUGUAGAAGGGCUAAUAUCUUGGUACUAUUGUUAGGUCUGUCUAUUUCCCUUUUGGAAUUUGGAACUUUUAACCCUGUUUCUUCUUGCAGUCUAUCGACGAUGCAUUGCGUAAACCUCUGUGUUUUAUUUGGUCUGAAGUUAUUGUUAAGAGAUAUUUAUGCAUCACACAUCUAAUAAAGCAUGACACCAAUGUCUGAAAAUAACUCUGGCAAAACUUACUGUUACUUAGUUUGACCCUGGGAGAUUAUAGUUCUUGAUUUAUUAUUGUGCUUGCUUUAAUCACACCAGAAAUAUUAAGCCCCAAAUAACUAAUUUGUUAUGUGUUCUUAGAAAUACGUCAAAGUAUACAUGGUUAGUAAAAGAUACACCAGUAUUCUUUGUACUACUCAGAAGUUCAACAUCGAUUUUUAUUCUUAAAGAUGCUUUAAAAUACUUAAUCAUCUAUCUUAAGAAUGUGCCUGUAAAUUUUCAAUAUUCAUCCAUAGUCAACUUGUUUUAGAGGCCUGAUAUCCACAGCCAGAGGCUAAAUAGCUGCUCAUUUUUGUGGUAGCUUUAAUUCAAUCCGAUGGAGGUUCACUGAGAAUCUGCCGGCCCCAAGCCAGGUGAGUCAUUCAUGACUCCCCACCCCCCUGAUCUUUAACUAAAUCAUCACUCUUUGUCUACAGCAGCUUUCUCAACCUUAAUAAUUCAACCCUUUAAUACAGUUCCUCAUGUUCUCCUCAACAAUAAAAUUAUUUUCGUUGCUACUUUGUAACUAUUUUUGCUACUGUUAUGAAUCAUGAUAUAAAUAUCUGACAUGCAGAGUAUCUGUUAGGUGAUCCUAGGGAGUCUUUUUUUUGUUUUUUGUUUUUUUUUUUAACAGUGCACUCCAUUUAUUUAUUUACUUUAUUUAUGAGUACACUGUAGCCAUCUUCAGACACACCAGAAGAGGGCAUCAGAUCCCAUUACCGAUGGUUUUGAGCCACCAUGUGGUUGCUGGGAUUUGAACUCAGGACGUCUAGGAAGAGCAGUCAUUGCUCUUAACCGCUGAGCUAUCUCUCCAGCCCGAUCCUAAGGAGUCUUGACCCACAGGUUGAGAACCAUCGAUCUAGGGUGUAGGCAGCUGAUCUUUCUAGAGUCAAUGAUCAGUGAACAUGUUGUCUAAGACAAACAGUAGACAGUAACUUGAAUAGAGAAGGCACUUUAGACAGGACCCAGCUGUUGACUUUAAAGUUAAUUUUGGCAAGUCACUAUGAUGCCAUUAGAGUCUAGGGUGACUUAAUCCUUGGGAUCAGUUAUUAUUUUGGUACUUUAAAUAGAAGUGACUUUAUUCCUGGCUAUAUUUUUAAAUUUUCAUAUCGAAAAGGUAGCUCUUCAGGUACUUUUGUGUGCACUCCUCUCUAAGCAAGCACCUGAGGUUAGCACUUCUGUCCUCUUUGGGGACUUACUCUUGGGACACUUUAAUAGUACCUUGCUAUUGUUUAAUUAACUCAGCCGUGGAAAGUCAUAAUGAUCAUUUAAAAGUAUUAAAUAAACAAAGUAAAGAUGUGGUUUCCUCCUCUCAUUCUUUGGGGGUUUGAAUUACACCGUAAGAGAAUCACAAACACUUCAACAACAUGCUAUGUGUUUCCAGUGAUUCACCGGGUGAUUCUCUAGAGGCAGGCUUUGCACGGGCCAAUUUUAUAUUUCACUUAAUUUUUAUUGCAUGAGUUUAUUUAUUUGUGCAUGGGGUGUGGGCAUAAGGGGUGUGUGUACGUCACAGUACACUCGUGGAAGUCACUUCUCCCCUUCUUACCAUCCGGGAAUUGGGGAUAAGGACUCAGGACAGCAGGUUUCACCUACUAAGCCUGACUGCUGGUCCUUAAAUUUCACCUUUGACUUUGGUAUUUUCUUAAGUAGGUUGAACUUGGCAUCGCCAUUUUCACCCAAUUUGAACCGUAAACAUGCCCUGAGCCCUGGCAUCCUAAAAGAGAUGGCAUUGUGAGCAGAGCCUCAUAGUUUACUUUGGUUCUUCCAUGGGAAGAUAUGAGUCAGAAGGCAUCAAGGUGGGGGUUGGGGGCGGGGUGAGGGGGAAGAAGGAGAGGAGAGAGAAGAAUGCAUUUUUCCCCACAUUCUAGUAUUGUGCAACUAUACUAGGUGUGGUUGAUAUCCACAUGUUGAAUAGGAAAUAGUGUUUAGUUUCCCUGACAUAACUUGGUAGUUUAUUUCCAAUUUUUAAUAAGACAUUUCUAGAACAAUCAAGAGGACCAAAUUAGAAUAUAUGAAAGUGACAUUGUCAAGGUAAACACAGCCCUUAAAAUCAUCCACCACUUGGAAUUUAUUAGCCUCAUUCUUAUUCCCUCCCCCUACCAUAGGCCAGACAGCCAUAAUGGCAGUAGAUGGAGAACGGGCUGUAUGUGUCUUCCUUGUCAUAGCUUAACCUUGUGGACAAUAUGAACCAAGUUAGACAAUUUAAGAAGAAUGGAGGCACCUUGGUGUGCUCUGUUUCUCUCUGCGUUCCUAGGCCUGGUAGACAGGCUCUAUUUGUUUGAGAACCAAUGUCUCUUCAGAGUCUUACAAGAUAAAUGAACAAAAUGUUUGAGUAGAUAAAUGCAGAGCAAGCCAAGAUGACGAAUACUGAACAUAAGAGCCAAGCAAAUGUUAGAAUCUUAAUUUACAGGAUCUACAUUAUACCAUCACUACUUAGUAACCGUCCCUGGUGGGUGCUACGUACCCGUUGCUAUUAAAACAUUUACACAACCAAUCUAGAAAACUGACUCUCAGGCCCUCGUGAAGAUCCCUAAUCCACAGAGGGCCCAGGUUUCUUCCUUCCAGUGUCAGGACCUGAUGCUCAAGUCUGAGGAUCAGCUGGAUGACAGAAGGGUGUUUCAGAACUCCUGGGAACCAGAACAGAGAUCUUAAGUGACAGAAGAUUUCAGAAAGAACAGCUCUCCUCCGCUGCAUUGGGUGAUGCCAUUUUUCCCAGGUGAGCACACACUAAGUAGAGUGGAGCUUAGGUUGACCUUUCCUUCUGUGGCAUACUCAGUGUAGUGUACAUCAGGACUGUCAUGAGCCUGUUGUUUUGAGAGGUCUCUGCUAGCCACCAGCACUCAAAUUGACCAAGUGUUCACCAGUGGAUAAACAGAUAAAGAUGCCCCCCUUUCAAUCCUCACUCCUGUGAUUUGUGACAAUAUAGAGGAACCCCAGGGGCACACAUUAAAUGAAAUAAUGUUUGAGGUGCCCAAAGAUAAGUGUUGUACGAUCUCAUCCAUAGACAUUGUAUAGAUGUAUAGAGGUCUAUACAUUGUAUUAACAGAGACUAAGGUGGGGAAGGAGAGGGAGCUAGCAAAGAAGUUGAUCUUUGGGUACAAACUUACAGUUAGGAUAAGCAAGUUUUGGCAUAUGACUGCACAGUAGAGUGACUACAUCAAUGAUAACAGUUAAUAUUUCAAAAAACCUAGAAGAGAUGAUCCUCCUUAUUGGUAUUAUAAUAAUUGAAGAAAGGAUUUUAAUAUUCUACUGCCAAGACAGGAUAAAUGUUUUGAAGCCAUGAGUAUAAUUCCCAUGACUCGAUCACUGGAUAAUGUUUGUAUAAUGUGUAACUAUUGUGUUAGUUUUCUGUCAGCCUAACACAGACUAGAGUCAUCUGGAAGAAGGCACCUCAGCCAAGAAAAUGACCUCUUCAGAUUGGCUUGUGGGCAAGUCUGUGGGGGGGCAUUUUCUUAGUAAAGGAUUGAUGUUCGAGGGCGCAGUCCACUGCGGGUGGUGCCAACCCUGACAGGAGGUUCUGAGUUGUAAAAACAAACGCUGAGGGAGCCAUGGGGAGCAGGCCAGGAAGCAGUGUUUCUCUUGCUUCCAGGUGACUGCCCUGACUUUCCGUCCUAAUAGACUAAGCUGGAGUUUUGUAAGGCCUUCCCAAGCUGCUUUUGGCCACGAUGUUUAUCACAGCAACAGAAAGUAAAUUAGAACAUGCAUAUUGAAGUUCAUGUUGUACCCCCACAGAUGUAUAUAAUCAUUUUAUAUACAUACAUAUAUACAUACAUAUGUCCGUAAGUGUGUGUGUGUGUGUGUGUGUGUGUCCGUGUGUCCGUGUGCACGUAUGCACGUGUGCAUAUCUACAGCUGCCGAAAAUCUGCUGUUGAGAGAAAGGAAGUCACCAGUGAGAGGUGGCUAUAUGCGAAACUCCUCUUUUCUUUGCUGCUACAUGGGCACUCUCCAGGGAGGAAGCUUUGAGCACAAGGAAGGGGGAGGCUUUUAACUUCAGCAUUUCUGUUCCUAGUCCUAAGCUAGGGGUGGUUUGCUGAGACCGAAAACUCCAUCAGAGGAAGACAUGUCCGCUAACUGCGGCUAAGUAUGAAUUCCUACCGGGAUUAGAAUUCGCACACCCUGACUUCCUAACUGAGGUAAAGAAUAAGACAACAACAGAGGACAUUUUGGGGACUCUUGUUGUGGUUGGCCCUGAAGUUAUCUGUAUUUUGAUGCUAAUUCCACUGCCCCAAGGACAGCUGCCUAGUCAAGUACUCAGGACUCAAGUGUCUUCACCAGAACCUUCUCCCCACUGAAUUUGUAAAGUACAUGUGAGGGGCAGGUACAGCAUAGAAGGAGGCCUGUCUUUGCAGAAGGAAGGAUGGGCAGGAGAGAAGUUUGAAGGAAGAGGAGGAAACUAGGAUGGGAAGAAGAGAGGUGAGGAGAGAGGGGAGAAGCCAUGGCAGAUGAUGUUAAGAUUCUGCUCUGUGUAUUUACAGGUUGUUAUUAAUGUUCUCAAGGGAUGGAUGGUACCGGGCUUUGUAUGUUUAAGUGGACAAUUAUAUCUUAUCAGUUGGGUCAAAGGUUAUUGUGUUGUGUGUUCUUUUAUGUGAGGGUUUGAGUGUAGGAAAUUGUGCGGCGGCAAGAGACACUGGGCCGCCGAGGAGUUGGGAUGUGUUUCUGCCAAGAUAUCGAGAUACCUUGGGGCACUGCGGUGCGGACCUAGCGGGGUAAAAGAUAACUAUACUUUUUCAUUUUUAUAUUUUUACAACAGACUCUCUUGGAGAACUGGGCCAAACUGGAACUUUAGAAACCUUGGUAGAAAACAGGAGUCUUGGCUUCUAGAAGACAGGAGGGACCAGAAGGGUCUGAAAGGCCCCUGCAUCAAAACCCUAAACUUCUGGUUGUCUUGGUUGAUGCGAUCCUUGAACAGGACUUCCUCAGAAGUGCCCCAGCAAAGCCAGCCUGAUCCAGCACCUCCAGGUGUGAGCAGAGCAGCCUCAGGAAUUCCCAGGUCCAGAUACUUCUAAGAAGAGGCACAGAGAGUUGUUAGAGAAUCCCUUGGUAUGGUAUUUUGCCCAGCGUCAACUGUCAACUUGACAUAGUCAAGAGCCAAUUGCUAAGAGAGUCUCAAAUGAGUGUCCUUUUCAGCAAUCUGGAAGCUGAAAUAAGCCCUUUCCUUCUUAAAGGGGGUUUUGGUCACGAUAUUUGUGGCAGCAACUGAAUCAAACUGGAAUAUUUGGAAUCUACGCCUUUUGAUGGGACUAUAAACAUCUUUUCACAGCUUCUGAACUACAUCCCAUAAUAUACAUGACCGCAUCCAUCACAGACAGCCAAGAGGCUGCUUCUGGGAUUUUUUUCCAUCCAGUAAUAUCUCUCUGGGUAAGAUGAUACACACGUCACUCACUUCAGGCCAGGGACAGGUGUGUUGUCUUUUGAUUUUUCUGCACACCGGUCUUCACCACCAUGUCUCAUGCCCAGCCUGCAUCAAGAGAUGGCUUGCCCCGAGCCAAUAUGAUUACAGAGGAAAAACAACAAAACCCUCUGACAUGGCUGGCUUUGAUGGGUCUAGUGUUAUUUGCUGCCCCCUUGUGGUCAGACUGGAUUCCCUCAUUCGCCUCUCCAGGACGUAUAGCAGGUUUCUGAAGAGAAAGCUUGGCAGAGUUUUGUUAGGAGGAACAGAGAGAAAGGUUGAAACUGGCGAGAGUUUUAAAUAAGAAAAGACUAAUGAAAUGGUUGCUACACUUGACACUCUCUGACCCUGUAGUCGUCUGUGGCAGGAAAUGGAUGGUUGUCGAGAAUCCGUUUGGGGCGCCGACUCCAGGUCCCUAUAAUUUAUCAUUUUUAUAUAUUCCAUCUUAGACCUUUUUAUAACUUGCACUUGCUUAUCUUAAAUUGCCUUCUCAGACCCUCACAACUCACUUAAGCUCCCAUAUCCUCAGACCUUUAUACAUCUUAAAUUUCUUUCUUAAAGGGCCGAGAUGUGGAGAAGUUGCCCGCCCCUCUCUUCCCUUCCUCCAACAACAGAGUCCCAUUGAGCUUUGUCCUUACCCACCCCACCCAGAAGAGAAACCAAGUUCCCCACCUAAGGUAGUAUUUUAUGUUUUGCUCUUUACUCUGUGACUUGCUAUUGCUAUCUUCCCAGGAGGUCUAAGAGCUCGGUGGUGGUAGAUCAUGUCUCAUGCACUUCCUGGUCUGUAGACCCGGGAGGGGAAUGCUGCAUUCAACAUGCCAUGCAAAUGCAUUUAUUUGCGGAGCCGCUCAAGUCCCCCACCAAAGCCUUCAAGCACGCUUUUGGCUCACUACACUUUUGUUUUAAAUCCACCAAUUUCCAACUGGCCUGGAAGCCGGUGAGCCAGUCAGCGAGUAAAAUUCGUCUCUGCUUUCUGCUUCAAGUUCCCGCUCUGGCUUCCCUCAGUGAUGGAUUCUGUGGUGACAGUUUUAAUUUUAAACACACUUUCCUGGGAGAGAAAUCUGGGCGAAUAAAAGUUCAUGCCACGAAGUUAUAUCCCACAGAUUGGUGAGGGCGGUGAAGAGGUAGAAGGUGCUUCCAAGGUGGUGCCUUUAUAUUUCUAAUUUCAAAAUGAAAACCAAUCGCGAAGAAAAGCCCUCUGCUUUCCCAAGUGUAUCCAUUUCUCCUUAAAAAGGAGAGGAAAAUUCUAGAAGGUUGGAGAACCUGCAGAAACCCCUCUUAGUACAAAAGAGCAGAUGCAACCAAAUUUGAAUGGAGUGAACGUGAGGGGAAAAUACAGCAGAGACAUUUACAUCGACUGUCUGGGAUGCUUCAGAACAUCUUUUCCCGUGCAUCUUGGGAAGUGUUAAAUCAUUUUGGAGUUUGAGGUCUGGAAAGGGAUACUGUGUGGUGGGGUUGGGCAUGUGUGCACAAGGAUGCUUAUGACUAGUAAGAGAAUUCCUUUCCCAUCCUCACAGGACUGCGGAAUCCAGACACACCAAAGUGACACAAAUACAAUACCCAGACUUCACUGUGUGAUGUGUAGGAGAAACUUAAUAAAUGUAGCUCUGACCUCUCAUGCUCCCUUCUCCUUUUAUCUAUUACAGUAGUUUCAACCUUCCUGAUGCUGUGAACCCUUUAAUAAGUUCCUCAUGUUGUUGUGACCCCCAACAUAAAAUUAUUAUCAUUGCUA